Prionailurus viverrinus (fishing cat) is the source of this 245-nucleotide long non-coding RNA. RefSeq lists it as uncharacterized. The transcript has 3 exons. The record is from RefSeq and is a predicted model, not a curated record. NCBI's taxonomy places the organism in Eukaryota, Metazoa, Chordata, Mammalia, Carnivora, Felidae.
GUCAACUUCUGAUUCCUUGCCCUGCAAUGCAGAUACGAUACUGCUUCAGGGGACUACUUCAGAGGUCUCGUUGAGAGGAUUAAUUGGGUGAUUGCAAAGAUGAGCACCAUACCGGCAGAAGCAAUUACAGCACGAUGACGAUUUUACUUAUGGAUAUUCAGAGGCAAAGAAAAACACCAACACACUAAUAGAGAGCAGUUUAAGGAGGAAUCAGCAACCAUGCGGAGGAAGGGGAGAUAAUUGUG